This 611-nucleotide ribosomal RNA is filed under the name Zygaena kermanensis. Its description in RNAcentral is "Zygaena rubricollis kermanensis partial 12S ribosomal RNA". The record is from RNAcentral. Lineage: Eukaryota; Metazoa; Arthropoda; Insecta; Lepidoptera; Zygaenidae.
UGCGGUUAUACAAAAAUUAAAUUAAAUUUUUUUUAGGAUUAAUAAAUAAAAUUUAAAAUUAAUAAUAAUUUAAAUUUUAAAUUAUAAAGUGAAAUUUUAAUUUAAUUAAAAUUUAUUUAUUUUUAUGAUAUUAAUAAAUUUUAUAAAAAAACUAGGAUUAGAUACCCUAUUAUAAAAAUUUAAAUUAAAAUAAUCUUAAAAUAGUAUGUAAUUUUUUAUAGAAACUUAAAUAAUUUGGCGGUAUUUUAGUUCAUUUAGAGGAAUCUGUCUAAUAAUUGAUAAUCCACGAUUAAAUUUACUUAAUUUUUAAUUUUGUAUAUCGUUGUUAAAAAAAUAUUUUUAAAUAAUUUUAAUAUUUUAGAAUUUAUAUAAAAAAUUAAAUCAGAUCAAGAUGCAGAUUAUAAUUAAGAAUAUGAUGGAUUACAAUAAAUUUUAUUUAGCUUGAAUAUUAAUUUGAAAUAAGUUGAUUGAAAUUGGAUUUAAAUGUAAUUUUAUUUAUUUUAAUAAAAUGAUUUAAAAUUAAAAUAUGUACAUAUUGCCCGUCGCUUUCAUAUAUAAAUUGAAAUAAGUCGUAACAAAGUAGAGGUACUGGAAAGUGUUUCUAGAAAGAU